This 315-nucleotide transfer-messenger RNA is filed under the name Isochrysis galbana. RNAcentral describes it as "partial transfer-messenger RNA". It matches the Rfam family "transfer-messenger RNA". From Rfam's summary of the family: Bacterial tmRNA, also known as 10Sa RNA or SsrA, is named for its dual tRNA and mRNA-like properties. Lineage: Eukaryota; Haptophyta; Isochrysidales; Isochrysidaceae. The record is from RNAcentral.
CUGGCUUCGACUGUUUGGAAUAUUUGGAAGAAAAGCAUGCGAGAGUGUUCCACUCUGACGGAACAUGGCAAUUUAACUGCCGACAAUAACGAUUUCGCACUGGCUGCAUAAGCCUAUGCCCAAUUAGAUUCUUCGCUCUUUGAGAUAAUAAUUGGCUAACCUUUAGAGGAGAUCGGGAAUGUGAAGUGACGGCACAUUUCUUAAACUUUGUCACUGGAAAUCAGGAAGCUUGAUUGUUGACUAACCUGGUUUUGAGACAAUACAAUAAUCUGAGCAUGGAGAAAGCUUUCAGGUAACCGGCAGGACGCGGGUUCG